CCUACGGGGGGCAGCAGUGAGGAAUAUUGGUCAAUGGGCGCGAGCCUGAACCAGCCAAGUAGCGUGAAGGAUGACUGCCCUACGGGUCGUAAACUUCUUUUAUAAAGGAAUAAAGUGAGGCACGUGUGCCUUUUGUAUGUACUUUAUGAAUAAGGAUCGGCUAACUCCGUGCCAGCAGCCGCGGUAAUACGGAGGAUCCGAGCGUUAUCCGGAUUUAUUGGGUUUAAAGGGAGCGUAGAUGGGUUGUUAAGUCAGUUGUGAAAGUUUGCGGCUCAACCGUAAAAUUGCAAUUGAUACUGGCAGUCUUGAGUACAGUUGAGGUAGGCGGAAUUCGUGGUGUAGCGGUGAAAUGCUUAGAUAUCACGAAGAACUCCGAUUGCGAAGGCAGCUUACUAAACUGCCACUGACAUUGAUGCUCGAAAGUGUGGGUAUCAAACAGGAUUAGAUACCCCGGUAGUC
RNAcentral lists this ribosomal RNA (459 nucleotides) under uncultured bacterium. RNAcentral's name for it is "partial 16S ribosomal RNA". It matches the Rfam family "Bacterial small subunit ribosomal RNA", at positions 338 to 795 of the family's 1533-position model. The record is from RNAcentral.